AGGAGAGCUGCUGUCAAUUUACCACCCCUCUGCUUAUUGCUUUGUUUUGCUUUCCUUCUUUGGUUCAUUUUUUUUCUUAAAGUUUUUAUCUCCUUUAACUGUUUGGUAACAGAUGUUGGAUGUUGUCUCUAAGGGUAUGAAUGAGAGUGAAGUGACAAAAAGAAAGCUAUAGCAGCUCUGACACCUGCUUUUGGUUGUGUCUACCAGCUCCCACCCAGGGCUGCAAAAGCAAAUCCCAAACUGCUCUGAAUUUUGUUUACAGUUUGAAGAGUCUCCUGAAAAACCUUCAGUCCAGAAGGAUUCUGCUGUUUCAUCUCUAACUUUAUUUCUCCUUCAUUGUUCUUCUUAAUGAAUGCUAUUUGCAUGACAACAGGGCCUUUUGUUUCUCAAGAGCUGAUCCAUCCCUAUUAAUUAUUCCUCCCUUGGAGGUUGACCACUGGAGUCUCCAGUGAGCACAACUGGGUGUUAAAUCACAUCCUCCAGACUAUAAUCCUGACUUCGUUUCCACACCUCCUGACUGUGAUGUAGAAAAGGGUUUCUGACAUCAGGUGCAGCGAAAGUUGAGGGAAUGUGGUUUGCAGUGAGAGUGGGGUGCACUAAUUCAAGAAAUUGAAGUUUCAUCAGUGCAUUCCCACUUUGCUGCCGUUUUGCUCCAGCAGGGUACCUGCACUGUGGUUUGUGCUCCAUGGCUGGUUUGUCACCUUCUGCAGGCUUGCAGUGCCUCUUCUGCAUCUCAUUGGGUUUGGGAAACUUGCCUAGUGAUAGUUUGUUCUGAUUUCAUGAGUAAUCAGUGUGGCACAAGGCUUUUCUAGGUGCCCUCAAACUGGCCUGCAAAUGUCUUCCAUCCUCCCAGCUCCUUCAGGAUUACCUUCAAGUAAUCCUGAGAGCCCAUCUCCAUUCGAUUUGGUGUGGGUGGCUGAGUGGGAUACCCCAGAGCAUCUCAAGUGGCAGCGAAUGCGCCUCAUCACACAGCAGGGUCCUGCCCCAUGAUCCCCACUGGGCAGCUGUGGACCAGAGUGGCUGCAAGAGCCUGAAGUCAGAGCAAGGACAUGUAUUUCAGAGCUCAGCCUCUUUUGCUUUCUUGCUACUCAUAUAAAAUAGCCCACAUAAACACAUUCAUUAUUAAUACCAAGUUAUUUCACUCUGCUUGAGGGAAACAAAUCUAUCUGCAGGGUUUUUACAGCCCCACUGACUUUGGUCUGCAGAAAGUCCCAUUCAUUUAUUUCUGUCCCCUUCCAGCUGGAAUGUUUUCAGGCCUAUCAGCAUAACUAAAGCCAGACUGGUUUCUGCUGUCUGCAACUUCUCAUGCAUAAACCUAUUUCAAAUACUGUCCCUCAUUGUCUCAAACACUGGCUGGCCGAGUGGGCCUGGGUUAGAUGUCACUCUGGGAGAUGGUUUCACUUGUCACAAAGUUAAUACUUAACAGGGAAUGGUCAGGAUUACGUUGAUGUGCUCUGAAGUGCAGUCUAAACUGGAUUUCCUGGGUUUGUAAUGCUUGGUUUCAGGUGAACAACUGACUGGCCAUGUUUAGAAGUCUAAAUUGCCAAUAUUUGCUCACAGGUAUAAAACCAGCUUAAUCUCCUGGAAUAGAGACGAGGCUUAAUAGGAAUCUGUGACACUUCCUGAGCCUGAAGGACGAAGUAAUGGCAGCACUAGAAGGAAACAAGUUUGGAAAAUGAAGGACAGAUGAGCUAGAGUUUCAUGGCUUUCCUAGAUUUGGCAGCCUGUCAUCAGGUGGACAGUGUAAGUUCCUGUUCUGCAGAUCAAGCCACUUCCCUGGCAUUUCAGAGGUAAGCUCUCUUGCGCUAUGGUUUGAGACAAAGGUCAGCACAAUGGAAAAAGGAUUCUUACAUAAAAACUAGCAAUUAUUGGAAAGGAAGAGCAGGUUGGUGGUUUGCUCUGUAAGGACACAAUGAUGCCAGGUAAACAAUUCUGUGAGCUGCUAGUUUAUAUUACAGAAACAUGGGGAUGGAUCAGCUCUUGAGAAACAGUCCCAGAAACUCAGCCUGAUGAGAACAGCUGCUGGUGGGGCUGUGUGUACCAGUAAGGGUGCCUCUGCUGGGUCACGUGCAGCCUGCGUACUGCUGGAGCAGAUACAGGCUUUAUUCAGGCUGCCCGCCCAGGUAUGUGUGUCCCCACAUUUGGCAGUGCCACUGGCUGUGCACUCAGUAUCCUCCUUUGCUGCAGAGCAAAGGAAAGCGCAUGAGACAUGGCUCAGCAGUGGGGCAGCAGCCCUGUCAGUGGCUCAGCUCUGUUGCUGUCUGCGAGGAACUGAGGGAGCCUGAGGCGAGAAGAAGAAAAUCCCUCACCCAAAUACAACAGGACAGGAAAGCCUGAGGUUGGGAAGCAUUAGGGGAUCUGAGUGGUUGGAAGGGAGAAGCAUCACCAGCGAUGCUGCAGGUUGUUCAGUGCCUGGGAGCUCAGCCCUCCUGCAGCUGCAGGCCUUGGGAUUUUGCUGGGAGAUGCACUGGGCCCCUGAGCCUCCAGAUUCAGGUAGGUUUACAACAGAUGAGGGGUUACACUAACGAGCUGGAGCUGUGCAGAGCCACUGUGCUGAACAAAAUGGUGGCCUGGGCCCGCCAUGCAGUAUACUGCUCUCCUGCAGGGUCCCCCUCCUUGCGUGAAGCAAUGCCAGCCAUUUUAAUUCUGUGAGGGAGCCCACUGCUGAGAGCCAACGGGAUGACAAGUUGAUUGAGGAAUUCCUGAAAAGUUAUCAAUAUUUAGAAAGCCCUUUAGUUCAUUGUCUCUGUAGAAUAUUUCAUUAGACCUUUCUUUUUCCUUCAGUGUUUUUUUUUUUUUUUUUUUUAAUAAUAGCUCAUCAAAGGAAAUUCUAGGUCUAGGGAAAUAAAAGAAGAAAGUAAAAUUUCAGCUUCUUACCCAAAGUUUUACUUGGUACAGGUCUAGUGACAAUUAAAAGACAUUUUAGUCAAGCUUGAUGUUUAGAAAUCUACGCAAGAGAUGAUGCCAAAGGAUAGUUUUUUCAGUCUUCAAAAACAAACAAAAAAAUCCCAGCAAGUAAACAUGCUAUAGGCAAAACAAAUGAUAUAAAGUACAUUUAGUCUUCAGAUUAUGUAGCAAGAAGGAAGUUUUUAAGGUAAGGUUUCCCUACAAUGCAGUACUGCCUCUUGCCAACUCACCUUUGGGCUAUCUCUAGCACUACUCGUUGACUUGCUCCCCUUGACUUGUAGAAUUCUUGAAUCUUGUGUGUUCUUUGAAGGCUGUGGAGUGAGCUGCAUGCAAAGUAACAGCCGGUCUGGAUGUUAGAAAGCACGAAGUGCUGCUGCUUUUUGUUUCAUCACAUACUUCCUUUACAGUAACCGUCUCCCCCAUUCCGUGUCUGCACACACGCGCUAUGUACGAAGUCUGUCACACAAAGCUCAUUUGAGGAUGCAAACAGUUUGCUUUGUGAGGCUCACAUCUCUGUGAGUCACCCAUUCAGAGCAGUUUCCAUGAACAGAGGAGGAAAUUCUGGCCCUUCAGAGUUUUGUGUCACUUCUUUCUACAAGAGUGUUAGCUGCUGAGAUGUGCUUUAACCUAGAUCCUGAGCUAUCGCUGUCAGCACCUCUUCCUUUUUGUGCUACCAGAAAUGAAAAACAGAUCAUCAGUUUUUGGUGGUGAUUUGAUACAUUCAUUUUGAGUUGGUAUUUUAAAAAAAGGGAAAAAGGAACAAGGGAAAAAGUAACCCUUUUCCUCUUACAUCUGCUUAUACUGCUGAGAAGCAGAGACUUUACCUAUGAACAGUGUCAGGUGCUGACUUUGUUAAGGGAGAAAAAGGAAAACCAUUUUUUUGCCCACUGUAUGUGUUUUUGCAAUCUCCUUUUACUAAAGGGGGAAAGAAGGACCAUGGGGGUAAAUUUGCUUGGUCCUCUGCCUACCCCUUAAAUAUCAAAACUGAGGAUUGUUUUGGCUGAACUCAAGCUGUGCAUCUGUGAAAGAGGUGGGGGAAAGGGGAAGAGGGGAAGGAGAUAACAGUACCUUGGGUUUCUGCAUGAUGUUUUAGUUGAGAUGACUCAAAGUUUAAAACAAAAAAAAAGAAAAAAAGAUUCAACACGAAUGGGGAAAACAGUCUGAGGGAACAGCACCUCACCUCAUCCUCAGCUAGGUUUCACUUCUGUGGAUCCAGGGUUGGUCUUGUGAUGCUGUGCUUUGGAUGUUUAAAAACAGUGCACAGGCAGGCGCUGCUGCCUUAAGGAAGCAUUAAGGAAGCAUUUGGGGCUGGAGCAAAGCUGGGUGGUGGGAGGCGAGGCUGCUGGGAGUGUGGGAUGGAGCCCAGCCACCACAGAUCUCUGCUCCCUCGUUUGCAAAUGUUCUGAUAUCCAGUGCUCAUAAAAGGGUUGCUCACUCUUCCCCCUUUGCAGGGAUUUCUCCUCAUAUUCUUGGAGUUGUUUCUCAUUUUUCUUUGGAUACAUACAUUCUCAUGGCACGUAAGCACUGCCCACCUCACUAGAGACCGCACAGAAGUGCUGGACAGAAAGCCUGCUGUGUCUGCACAUCUGAAGAAGGAUGCUCUGAAAAGAAGAGGAUGAGGAAGCAGAAAUCCUGGGGUUGUUCUCAGCACACCACAGUCUAGCCAUUGCCAAGGGCUGGGCUGGUUUUUGUCAGCAAACUUCAUGGCAAGCUUUUUAGGGAGGAUUCCAUAGCUGAGUGGGUAGGAUGGCAUGCAGGUGGUGCAAAUUCACUUGGAGAAGGUGUGAAAUUGAAAGGAUGGGAAAAAGUAAUGCUGAGGGAUGAUGGCAGAGGGGAAAUGAAACAGUGUGAGUAACAUAUAGAAAGGCUGGGAUAGUCCAUGACAGCCUCCCAGACUGUUGAUUAAUAGUGUAACUUGUGAUGCAGGGGUGAGGAAGCUGCGGGCAGGCGAGGUGCCUUUCUUUUCUCACUGCAGGCCUUCAUCCAUGCCGAUAGGUUGUGAUUCUUCAGUAGGACCACAAGACUGGGUGGGCUGUCCCUUUUCUUGCAGUCUGAUUGGUUGGUCUGCUCAAUUCUUGUACCUCUUUGCACGUCACCGAUGCCACCAGUGAGCAAAGAAUCACCUGAUGCUACAUGUGUCACCUCAUUGCUUUUUCCUAAAGAAGGAGCUGUUCCAUGAGCAUUUUGUCUCAUGUUGACAACUUUGCCAUUUCUCUGUGACUACCACACAGUUUUGCCCUUUAGGCCAUGCAGGCGGCCCUGGGUGGCAGCAGGUGGAGCUCUGCUGGUUCCCUGUGCUCACUUUUGGGGCUGACCAUCCCCUAGCACUACCAAGGUGUACCAGCUAGCUCAAGGUGCUGAUAAUCUAAAUCAGAGUCUAAUUAGUGAGAAAAAUAAUUGUUCUACUUGAGAAGAGAGAGCAUCCACUGCUAUGGUCCUCUUACCUUUCUACUUGAUUUCCCUCAAAUGCCCUUCAACAUCUCCAAUUUUCAGUUUCCUUUACCUCCCCUCUACCCUCCCAUGUCCCCAGGCCCCUGGAUUUUCCCUUUUUUGGAAGGCUGCUGUCAUUCUGUGCUGGAGAGGAAGCUUUGGGAACCAGCCGGAUGGGAACAGCAGUAGGGAACAGCAGGCUGGUUAGCAGAUACCACAAAAGAGCAAUGUGCAAAGCCUUAGAAUGGUCCUGGGGAAUAUUUUACUGCUGGAGUGCUUGUCUGGAGUCACCAAGAAGGGCUGAGCUCAUCUCUGAGCUAUUUGGUCCUGCUGCAGGGCCUCACUGGGUGGCACCAGGAACAACACCCUCCCUCUCCAUCCCACCUGGCAGGAGGGAAGCCCAGGAGGCUUUUGGAAUUUGUUCCUGCUCACUCUGAGCCACAGGUCACAUCCUGGCUUUGGGCCAUUGCAACCUCCAGGUGAGCCAGAACUUGGAUGAAAUGUCCCACUACCUGAAUUUGGUGGCUCUGCAGAGCCAUUUGUUAUUGAGUUGCUCCAUCUCGUGGUUGAAGGGGAAAUGAGAAGCACAGCUUCAGCCCUGCACUAUCUCAGCCUCUAGCUAUGGUUGAUCACCAGGAGGAACCGUUAAUCCUGUAGCUCAGACAGCUUAUCCUAUAACUGCCUCCACCAGCAAAGCACUUGGCUCCCUGCACUGACCAUCUUUGCUCCACUGUCUGCACCGUGGAUGGCCCAGGAGUAAUGAGCAAAGGGAAAGCUGUGCCUUUCGUGAUGGGUAGAGAGGGCAAAAGCACAGAAACAGCUGAAACAGAACUUUUCCAUAGAGGAGGUGACCAUAAGCAUUGCUGAUGAGGCCAGGAAACUGCUGUGCCAGUGCAGAGCUCUUUCUCCAGGGGGAAGCCUUCUCACCAGCUUUUAGUGUCCCUUGGAAGGACUCCACAGCCUAAAGGAGGAACCUGCAAACCCUGGCUGUGCAGCAGGACCAUGUCUGUCUCAAUGGAGAAAGGUUCUUUCAGUGGUGGAGGAGCUAAAUCUGCUGCCUGAGUGAGCAGGUGAGCUGACGUCUCUCUUUGAGGUGGUUUUGAGUUUGUUGAAAUGUAUGACUCAUUUCAACAGAGAUAUCAGCUGGGGAUGCUGUGUGGGACUCUUGAGGACAUGUCAGCAGGAGGGGUAUUUUCUGUGUCAGUGCUCUGAGACUAGUGACAUUUGAAACCAGUGAAUAUUUUUCCUCAGUAUUCUACUACGUACUGGUCUAAAACCCAGGCAGUUUAGGCAACCCCCUACCUGCCUGUUCUGCUCUCAGCUGCACAACACCUGCAGCCAUCUUGGAGGGGACAUGCAUGUCAUGCUGCCACUCUGCCUGCUGCCUUACUUUUGGCUCGGCCUAGUGGCUGUCCAGCAGUGCUGAUGUACCCACAGAGGGCCCCCGCCCCGCAGUGUGCCUCCUUCCAGCCAAAUGGCUGACUCAUUCUGACACUUCAAAGGUAUUUUUAUGCUUUUUCCGACUCAAACCCUCACCUACAUUUGUCUUCAACUCAUACUCAGGUUGGAUGUUAAAAAGAAUCUCUUUUCAUAAAGAGUGGUGAGGCACCGGCACAGGCUGCCCAGGGAGCAGUGGGGUGGGGCAGUCACCAUCCCUGGAGGUGUUCCAGAGCCAUGGAGAAAUGGCACUGAGGAACAUGGUCAGUCGGCAUGGUGGGGUGGGGUUGGACUUGAGGAUCUUAGAGGUUUUUUAAUGUUUAUUUAAUGAUUUAAUGAUUCUAUGAUAUAACCCCCAUCCCUGGCCUGACAAAGCAGGCACUUCAGCUGUCCUUGUGCAAGGUGGAAAAAAAAAUCAAUAACUGAAGCUGACUGAGGCACUUUCGCUUUGUCUUCCAUAGAGCCAAUGUGCACAUACAACUCUGGGAAGGUGGCUGUAUAGCUGCACCUCCUAUCCAAAAAGCGGCCAUACACAUUUUUGAGCCACCUGGGCUGCUCGUGUGGCCGAGGAACUGUGUCCCACCAGCGUACUGCUCAUGGUGACCAGCAUCCAAUCAGCCUCCACGUAGCGUUUGUUCUCAGUGUUUUCUGCACCUCAUUUCUGGGGGCGUGUGAACUAGCACAGCAUGUGUGUACAGUGUGUGACAAGUUACUGCAGCCCGAUGGGCCUCGAAAAUCAUUGUAAGAAAAUGAUUAACUAAGCAGGAACAGAAGAGUCAUUUUAGGAAAGAGAAAAAGUGCUUCUAAUAGGACGUCCUGUCUUUGACUGAAGCCAGAAGUGGACGUUUAGGGGAAGAAUGUCAGAAAGUGGGAUCCUGCUGCUGACAGUACUUCCAGCAGCAAGCUGCUCAGUGAAUAAGGAAAGGGUGGCCAUACAGCCACUGAGUUCCGCGGGUCACUUCUUUCUUCCCAUUUCCCACAGAGUUCUUCUGCUGAUGUAUAUCUGUGCAGUGUGUGAUACACUUGUGUCUAUUCAGCAGCAGAGUCUAGCAUUUUAUUCUUGAAAACACCCAUAUAACCGUUUCGUUGAAUCAUGGCUUCCAGUCUUCUAAAGGUGGCAGAGAUUGAAGGGCAGCAAAUCUCCAAGUGGGUUGUGUUGGAUAAUUAACAGGGAGAGAUGAACUAGAAAUGCGGUCACAGCCAUCAGAAUUUGGCACCAGUACUUUUCCCUGAAUAUACAUGAAACUAUACUCCUCAAGAUAAAUAUUUAUUCAGCAAAAUCAUAUGAUUUCCAAAGACUUGUUCUAAAAAAAAAAAAAGUUUUUUUUUGUAUUUUUGUUUUUUUAAAAUCCGUUUUGCUUUCUCAGAGUUUUGCUGUAUUAUUUCAUUACCCAAGCAGAGUGUGAAUGGAAUUCCCUCUCUUCUGGUUGCAUGCUUGAUCUGGGCAUGUCAUUUUGGUGCUUCACUACCUUUGUAACCUGUUGACCCAGUUUUACCUCUGCCAAGCACUGUGCUGAUGAGGCGAGGUGUUUGCUGCAUCCAACCAAGCUUUCUUUAGAGUGAUUUGGGUGUCUGCACAGGACAUCACAAGGCACCGUGGCUGACCUGCAGGGUUAGCCACUCAAGUCAGGGAGUUCCCAUCCUCUCCUAAAUGUUCUGGUAUCAUCCUGGUUACACCAGAGGUGGGAUCUGUCAUCUUUUCAAUUUUACGCAUGGGAAAUCAUAGAGAAAUGCAAAAGGACUUUCCAGAAGUGGUAUGAAAGAGUGGAGUGCAAUUUCCCAAAUCCAGAUAUCUUCUUCCUGAUGCCAACACUAUUUUUAGGCUGUUCCUUCCCAGGGACCAGCUCCCAAGUUGAACAGCACUGUACUGAUCAUGUCUUGAUAUUCACGCUCCUUUGGGAAGUCCUGCAAUCUUCAGAACCAACUGCUGUCCGCCAUUUCAUAUGGAGAAUUAACUAUUCCCACUUGGGGAACUCUACGAUUCUGGGUUAGAAAUGCACAUUUGAAGGAGAACCCUUAAAUGUAACUCACCUGGAAACAAAUGGAUAUGCUAUACAAUUGUGGAUUACCCCUGUUCUGACCAGCAGCUUCCACACCAAUGUCCAGGGGACCACUGGCAGAGGACAAAGCUUCUUUGAGCAUGCAGUACAUAUGAAUCCCUGGGAGAAGAGCUGGGCGUUUGAGGGAUUCACAUUCAGUUAUACCAAGUGUUACCUGGCCACUGUUGACUAAUGGAAGCCAACAACCUUCACUACAGUCUGGCACAGAGGGAUGGCAGUGAAGAAAAGUGGCAGCAGCCAUGCUACCCAUGCCUGCCUUGCAUAGUCAUUCCUGUACUUCAUGUGGAGCUGCCUUGUCUGAGGGUUUAUGCACACCCAGUGCUAUGACUUCCUGAAAGAUGUAUUUCUGUUGAAUGGCUUGAAUUGAAAAAGUGCUGACUUGUAUAGAAACUGCACUUUUUUCCCCCCAGUUUUCUGUAAUAUUUCCUUAUCCAUCUCUCCUCAGUGACUGGCAUUUCUGGACAGAAAGCCUCACACACCCAAGCCUAUAACUGCAAUGGACUGGAGUUGAAUGAAAAUGGCAGGUUGGCCUAAAAGCAACAUUUCCCACAGCUGAGAUGUGGCCUGGAUCAUUGCAGAUAGAGUGAAGUCUGCCAUUUUACGUCUCUGAACUUCAUUGUGAGGGGUCCACUUGGGCAUUUUUGCUCUUCACCACCCUAGAAAUGUGUAAAUGUUCAUUACCAGCAAGCUGCAGUUCAAGGACAGGUUUAACUUGUGGUACUAGGUUUGCAAUAUUUGAUGGAAAGGGGCAGGUGCAUUGCUGCUUGAUGGUGGCUGCGAUCUCCCUCUUCUUUCACUGGGAGCACCUCAAAUCUGGAGGGGCUAGAUAGACAAGUGCUCCUUUUUAGGGCCUGAUGAGAUAGUGUUCUCAUGUUUUCAAAAGCACUGAUUGCCAGAAUUGCUCAAAGUUGUAGAAGAGGGGGACCUAAUAAAGCCAUGGCCAAAGGCAACGACUAGUUAUCUCAGCACUGCUGUAAAGUAUAUGCGUAUGUGCAUUUCACACUGCUUGCCAUCUCACUUGUCAAGAGCGAGAAGGAUGUAUGAGAGCAUGAGAAAUCAAACUUAGUUUGUGACUAAUAGAUCUGAUAGGGAUCCCUUAGUAGCGAUCACACAGCAGAUUGAGAUCCGUCUCAGGAGUCUAAGAGCAAGAACAUUAAAAAUAGCCUUACUCUUUGUGGUCUCCUGACUGAUGUUCUUCUGACAGUAAGCCAGGAAAGCUGUUACUAAUUUGAUGCAAGACUAUUUAAUGGGAGAACUUUAAUCUACCUUACACCUGUAUGCUAUGGAAGUCUAAAAUACAUUAAAGCUAGAAAA
Numida meleagris (helmeted guineafowl) is the source of this 10148-nucleotide long non-coding RNA. RefSeq lists it as uncharacterized. The record is from RefSeq and is a predicted model, not a curated record. The transcript is spliced from 6 exons. Lineage: Eukaryota; Metazoa; Chordata; Aves; Galliformes; Numididae.